RNAcentral lists this non-coding RNA (24 nucleotides) under Arabidopsis thaliana (thale cress). Lineage: Eukaryota; Viridiplantae; Streptophyta; Magnoliopsida; Brassicales; Brassicaceae. RNAcentral also lists the same sequence under 1 other name. The record is from RNAcentral.
UAAAAGGUCGACGCGGGCUCUGCC